RNAcentral lists this ribosomal RNA (254 nucleotides) under uncultured bacterium. RNAcentral describes it as "partial 16S ribosomal RNA". It matches the Rfam family "Bacterial small subunit ribosomal RNA", at positions 524 to 776 of the family's 1533-position model. The record is from RNAcentral.
UACGUAGGUGACAAGCGUUGUCCGGAUUUACUGGGCGUAAAGGGCGCGUAGGCGGCGUGACAAGUCACUUGUGAAAUCUCCGGGCUUAACUCGGAACGGUCAAGUGAUACUGUCGUGCUAGAGUACAGAAGGGGCAACUGGAAUUCUCGGUGUAGCGGUGAAAUGCGUAGAUAUCGAGAGGAACACCUGCGGCGAAGGCGGGUUGCUGGGCUGAUACUGACGCUGAGGCGCGAAAGCUAGGGGGAGCGAACGGG